RNAcentral lists this ribosomal RNA (440 nucleotides) under uncultured bacterium. RNAcentral describes it as "partial 16S ribosomal RNA". It matches the Rfam family "Bacterial small subunit ribosomal RNA", at positions 338 to 795 of the family's 1533-position model. The record is from RNAcentral.
CCUACGGGCGGCUGCAGUCGGGAAUUUUGGGCAAUGGGCGAAAGCCUGACCCAGCAACGCCGCGUGAAGGAUGAAGUAUUUCGGGAUGUAAACUUCGAAAGAAUGGGAAGAAUAAAUGACGGUACCAUUUAUAAGGUCCGGCUAACUACGUGCCAGCAGCCGCGGUAAUACGUAGGGACCAAGCGUUGUUCGGAUUUACUGGGCGUAAAGCGCGCGUAGGCGGCUAGGUAAGUCGGUUGUGAAAUCCCUCGCCUUAACCGAGGUCCCGCGUCCGUUACUGUCUGGCUCGAGUCUAGGAGAGGAAAGCGGAAUUCCCAGUGUAGCGGUGAAAUGCGUAGAUAUUGGGAGGAACACCGGUGGCGAAGGCGGCUUUCCGGACUAGUACUGACGCUGAGGCGCGAAAGCUAGGGGAGCGAACGGGAUUAGAUACCCCGGUAGUC